This 466-nucleotide ribosomal RNA is filed under the name uncultured bacterium. RNAcentral's name for it is "partial 16S ribosomal RNA". It matches the Rfam family "Bacterial small subunit ribosomal RNA", at positions 28 to 507 of the family's 1533-position model. The record is from RNAcentral.
GACGAACGCUGGCGGCGUGCUUAACACAUGCAAGUCGAACGGAAAGGCCCUGCUUGCAGGGUACUCGAGUGGCGAACGGGUGAGUAACACGUGGGUGAUCUGCCCUGCACUUCGGGAUAAGCUUGGGAAACUGGGUCUAAUACCGGAUAGGAACCAUCUUUAGUGUGGUGGUUGGAAAGUUUUUUCGGUGUAGGAUGAGCUCGCGGCCUAUCAGCUUGUUGGUGGGGUAAUGGCCUACCAAGGCGGCGACGGGUAGCCGGCCUGAGAGGGUGUACGGCCACAUUGGGACUGAGAUACGGCCCAGACUCCUACGGGAGGCAGCAGUGGGGAAUAUUGCACAAUGGGCGCAAGCCUGAUGCAGCGACGCCGCGUGGGGGAUGAAGGCCUUCGGGUUGUAAACUCCUUUCGCUAGGGACGAAGCUUUGUUGUGACGGUACCUAGAUAAGAAGCACCGGCUAACUACGCG